RNAcentral lists this ribosomal RNA (381 nucleotides) under uncultured bacterium. Its description in RNAcentral is "bacterial SSU rRNA". It matches the Rfam family "Bacterial small subunit ribosomal RNA", at positions 28 to 410 of the family's 1533-position model. The record is from RNAcentral.
GACGAACGCUGGCGGCGUGCUUAACACAUGCAAGUCGAGCGGUAAGGCCCUUUCGGGGGUACACGAGCGGCGAACGGGUGAGUAACACGUGGGUGACCUGCCCUCAGCUCUGGGAUAAGCCUGGGAAACCGGGUCUAAUACUGGAUAUGACUCCAUGACGCAUGUUGUGGGGUGGAAAGCCUUGUGCGGCUGAGGAUGGGCCCGCGGCCUGUCAGCUUGUUGGUGGGGUGANGGCCUACCAAGGCGACGACGGGUAGCCGGCCUGAGAGGGCGACCGGCCACACUGGGACUGAGACACGGCCCAGACUCCUACGGGAGGCAGCAGUGGGGAAUCUUGCGCAAUGGGCGAAAGCCUGACGCAGCGACGCCGCGUGAGGGAUG